UACGUAGGGUGCGAGCGUUGUCCGGAAUUAUUGGGCGUAAAGAGCUCGUAGGCGGUGUGUCACGUCGUUCGUGAAAACCUGCAGCUUAACUGUGGGCGUGCGGUCGAUACGGGCAUCACUGGAGUUCGGCAGGGGAGACUGGAAUUCCUGGUGUAGCGGUGAAAUGCGCAGAUAUCAGGAGGAACACCGGUGGCGAAGGCGGUUCUCUGGGACGGUACUGACGCUGAGACGCGAAAGCGUGGGGAGCGAACAGG
RNAcentral lists this ribosomal RNA (254 nucleotides) under uncultured bacterium. RNAcentral's name for it is "partial 16S ribosomal RNA". It matches the Rfam family "Bacterial small subunit ribosomal RNA", at positions 524 to 776 of the family's 1533-position model. The record is from RNAcentral.